AGGAGAGAGAAUGUGGAACUUGCUGUCAUGUGAAGUCGCUUAAAUCAAUAGUACUGAGAUAUCAAAAGGGAGCCAUUGAUGGACAUCACGAUGAACAAAGGUACCAUCGAGAGAUGCCUCCACUCUUUCAAUGCCUUGUGGUCUUGUACUAAAGAAACCUACGGAUGAAAAGCCUCUGUGGAAGACACUUCAAAGAUGGAAGGAAAUAGGGAACAGAGUGAGUCCUGAUGAAGGGUCUCGGCCUGAAACGUCGACUGUUUAUUUCCCUCCAUGGAUGCUGCCUGACCUGCUCAGUUCCUCCAGGACUCUUUGUGUAUUGCUCCAGAUACAUCCAGCAUCUGCAGACUUUCUUGUGUCUCAAGACACCAGCAGUGUUCAAAAUCAUUUAGGACUUUCUUUUUAAGAUGCAAUAUUUUUCAUCAUGCAGAGGUAAGCCUCA
This is a long non-coding RNA of Pristis pectinata (smalltooth sawfish), 439 nucleotides long. RefSeq lists it as uncharacterized. Lineage: Eukaryota; Metazoa; Chordata; Chondrichthyes; Rhinopristiformes; Pristidae. The record is from RefSeq and is a predicted model, not a curated record. The transcript has 3 exons.